CCGGAAAUCAGAAAAUCGUCAUAUCCGGAAAAUGUAAAUUAUUGACCGGAAGAGGUGUGUGUGUCUAUGAAGCCGGAAACAGGGGUAGGGGUGUUAAAAACUAGUUAAACAUGUUAAACCAUCCUACAGGGGGUGUCUUGAUUUGAAGGGUGUUAAAAACUAGUUAAACGUGUUAAACCAUCCUACAGGGGGUGU
Long non-coding RNA from Sander lucioperca (pikeperch), 195 nucleotides. RefSeq lists it as uncharacterized. The transcript is spliced from 3 exons. Lineage: Eukaryota; Metazoa; Chordata; Actinopteri; Perciformes; Percidae. The record is from RefSeq and is a predicted model, not a curated record.